This 406-nucleotide ribosomal RNA is filed under the name uncultured bacterium. Its description in RNAcentral is "partial 16S ribosomal RNA". It matches the Rfam family "Bacterial small subunit ribosomal RNA", at positions 30 to 526 of the family's 1533-position model. The record is from RNAcentral.
AUUGAACGCUGGCGGCAUGCUUUACACAUGCAAGUCGAACGAGUGGCGCACGGGUGAGUAAUACAUCGGAACGUGUCCUAUCGUGGGGGAUAACUGAUCGAAAGAUCAGCUAAUACCGCAUACGAUUGGAGCGGCCGAUGCCCGAUUAGCUAGUUGGUGAGGUAAAGGCUCACCAAGGCGACGAUCGGUAGCUGGUCUGAGAGGACGACCAGCCACACUGGGACUGAGACACGGCCCAGACUCCGACGGGAGGCAGCAGUGGGGAAUUUUGGACAAUGGGGGCAACCCUGAUCCAGCCAUGCCGCGUGGGGGAUGAAGGCUUUCGGGUUGUAAACCUCUUUCGCUAUCGAACGGGUAGGUGGAGAAGAAGCGCCGGCUAACUACGUGCCAGCAGCCGCGGUAAUUC